RNAcentral lists this ribosomal RNA (497 nucleotides) under uncultured bacterium. RNAcentral's name for it is "partial 16S ribosomal RNA". It matches the Rfam family "Bacterial small subunit ribosomal RNA", at positions 28 to 507 of the family's 1533-position model. The record is from RNAcentral.
GAUGAACGCUGGCGGCGUGCCUAAUACAUGCAAGUCGAGCGAACAGACGAGGAUCUUGCUCCUCUGACGUUAGCGGCGGACGGGUGAGUAACACGUGGAUAACCUACCUAUAUGACUGGGAUAACUUCGGGAAACCGGAGCUAAUACCGGAUAAUAUAUUGAACCGCAUGGUUCAAUAGUGAAAGACGGUUUUGCUGUCACUUAUAGACGUAUCCGCGUCGCAUUAGCUAGUUGGUAAGGUAACGGCUUACCAAGGCAACGAUGCGUAGCCGACCUGAGAGGGUGAUCGGCCACACUGGAACUGAGACACGGUCCAGACUCCUACGGGAGGCAGCAGUAGGGAAUCUGCCGCAAUGGGCGAAAGCCUGACGGAGCAACGCGGCGUGAGUGAUGAAGGUCUUCGGAUCGUAAAACUCUGUUAUUAGGGAAGAACAAAUGUGUAAGUAACUAUGCACGUCUUGACGGUACCUAAUCAGAAAGCCACGGCUAACUACGUG